RNAcentral lists this ribosomal RNA (190 nucleotides) under uncultured Staphylococcus sp. RNAcentral's name for it is "partial 16S ribosomal RNA". It matches the Rfam family "Bacterial small subunit ribosomal RNA", at positions 150 to 334 of the family's 1533-position model. Lineage: Bacteria; Bacillati; Bacillota; Bacilli; Caryophanales; Staphylococcaceae. The record is from RNAcentral.
CGGGAAACCGGAGCUAAUACCGGAUAAUAUAUUGAACCGCGUGGUUCAAUAGUGAAAGACGGUUUUGCUGUCACUUAUAGAUGGAUCCGCGCCGCAUUAGCUAGUUGGUAAGGUAACGGCUUACCAAGGCAACGAUGCGUAGCCGACCUGAGAGGGUGAUCGGCCACACUGGAACUGAGACACGGUCCAG